Molecule: small nucleolar RNA, 105 nt
Organism: Lathyrus oleraceus (garden pea)
Lineage: Eukaryota; Viridiplantae; Streptophyta; Magnoliopsida; Fabales; Fabaceae
Source: RefSeq, a predicted model, not a curated record
AUCCCAUGGUGAGGACAUUGCCUUAACAACUCAUUGAAUAUUUCCCAAGCAUCACAAAGACUUGUCAUCCCCUUUCGUAAAUGAAGUGAUCUCAUUACUCAUCUU